GCGUUACCGCCAGAGUUCAAGAACGUGCUUCGGCCUGCGAGCCUCAGCAAGGGCCAGAGCGCAGCCCCAGCCCAGGCCGCCAUGCCGCUGCCGCCGGGACACGCGCAGAGGGCGGUUUAGUAACAGAUGCGGGGUGCCGGCGCUACGGCGACAGCGCCAUGGCACGACGGAAUGUGUGUGUCCAUCCCCUCCCCCCGCCCCGGGGCGGCAUUUCGGGGAUUUUUUCCUUCAAAUAACUUCCUGCCUCCCCUCUUCCGCCUUCGGUUGGGUUGCACAGAGUUCCUGCUCAAAGGAGGCCAGUUUACUAGCACGUGCUCAUUUGGUUUCAGAAGUUUUUCUAGUUCAUUGUCAUCACUGGGAAGGUCCUGUAUCCAUGAAGUCUCUCCAAUUUGCAGACUGUAUUAAUCAUCUCACAGGCAGCAAGAUGUACAAUUGCAGCCAUGAAAAACCAACCCAGAAUAACCCAGGACAACUGACUGGAUGAGGUAUGACACAUUCUGGCAGUGGAAAACUUGACGUGCAAAAGAACUGACAGGCUGAGGACUGGAAGAGAGCUGUGCUGCUUCAUGAAGAAUAAUAACGAGGAGAACCCAGACCCAAUUAUACAGCUAAUUCCUUUGCUUACAUAAACCAGUAUUUUAAAAGCAAAGGACCAUUUCUGGGAUUUUUAAAGCCCUGAAGUUGCACAGUGGGAGAAGGGAACAAGUCAUACUCUGUGCUUUAUUUUUCUAAUUAAGCUGAUAUGCCUUACAUGAAUGCGUGAAAUAUAACAUACAUUAUUAAACUCUACUGGAAAUGUAACCUGUUCAUUGAAGUGCUUCCAUUAUACUCACAGAAGAUAUUUUCUACUUUAAAAUUAUUAAAUUAUAGAAAACCU
This is a non-coding RNA of Phalacrocorax carbo (great cormorant), 877 nucleotides long. The record is from RefSeq and is a predicted model, not a curated record. Lineage: Eukaryota; Metazoa; Chordata; Aves; Suliformes; Phalacrocoracidae.